This is a long non-coding RNA of Pocillopora damicornis (cauliflower coral), 685 nucleotides long. The record is from RefSeq and is a predicted model, not a curated record. Lineage: Eukaryota; Metazoa; Cnidaria; Anthozoa; Scleractinia; Pocilloporidae.
CUUUUUCGCUCCAUGAUGGGCCGAGGAGAACAUGCAACAAAUGAAGAUAUCCUGUAAGAUACUUUUCAUUUGCGCUCCUAGAGGUCUACCCUGACCGGGAUGAAACGGAAUUAUGGUGUAACAACUUACCACGGACUUCUGCACCACGACACACGAAUUGGAAAUAAAAGGUUUUCGGUAAAAUAUUUUACCCUUGUACUGAUGUCUACGGUCAAUUUCUACCUUCCCACACAGAUCAAUGAUUUCCUCAGCCCAUCAGGGAAAGAAAAAAGAUUUGCAAACAUACAACUUUAAAAGAAUUUGCGAAGCUUUCAUUCUAUACCCUGUACCUCACACGACAAGAAUGAUCGAGGCCGCGCAAAAUAGCCUGCCUCUUGAGGGACCUGGUACAAGGUUAGCCAAUCCCAGCGUUCAUUCCGACCUCAGUAUUAGCGAAGGCAAGUGGCAUUUUUACAUUUAUCAUGGACGAGCCUGCUACACAUGAGCAUGAGAUUUGCAAAACUAGAUGGAACCGGGCAAUAGUAGACUACUAAACAAGGAAGAGGAACUAGUCACAAAUUUUAUUUUUGAGGCUGCAGUGAAAUGACUACAUAAAACAGAAAGUAUCCAUGACAAUGACAAACAUGAUUCUACUUCACAUUCUUACAUUUUUCUACUGGUUUAAGACUGACUAGCUAUGAAGCUU